This 1038-nucleotide long non-coding RNA is filed under the name Oryctolagus cuniculus (rabbit). Its description in RNAcentral is "lncRNA (ENSOCUG00000038928.1)". Lineage: Eukaryota; Metazoa; Chordata; Mammalia; Lagomorpha; Leporidae. The record is from RNAcentral.
AUGUGUGUGUAUGGGGGACCACUAGGGUAUAGGAAGAUGCAUGUGAAUGGAGGACCACUGGGGUAUAGGAAGAUGUGUGUGAAUGGAGGACCACUGGGGUAUAGGAAGAUGCAUGUGAAUGGAGGACCACUGGGGUAUAGGAAGAUGUGUGUGAAUGGAGGACCACUAGGGUAUAGGAAGAUACAUGUGCAUGGAGGACCACUGGGGUAUAGGAAGAUGUGUGUGAAUGGAGGACCACUAGGGUAUAGGAAGAUACAUGUGCAUGGAGGACCACUAGGGUAUAGGAAGAUGCGUGUGUAUGGAAGACCACUGGGGUAUAGGAAGAUGUGUGUGAAUGGAGGACCACUAGGGUAUAGGAAGAUACAUGUGCAUGGAGGACCACUAGGGUAUAGGAAGAUGUGUGUGCAUGGAGGACCACUAGGGUAUAGGAAGAUGCAUGUGAAUGGAGGACCACUGGGGUAUAGGAAGAUGUGUGUGUAUGGUGGACCACUGGGGUAUAGGAAGAUGUGUGUGAAUGGAGGACCACUAGGGUAUAGGAAGAUGCAUGUGUAUGGAGGACCACUAGGGUAUAGGAAGAUGCGUGUGAAUGGAGGACCACUAGGGUAUAGGAAGAUACAUGUGCAUGGAGGACCACUGGGGUAUAGGAAGAUGUGUGUGCAUGGAGGACCACUGGGGUAUAGGAAGAUGCGUGUGCAUGGAGGACCACUGGGGUAUAGGAAGAUGUGUGUGCAUGGAGGACCACUGGGGUAUAGGAAGAUGCAUGUGAAUGGAGGACCACUGGGGUAUAGGAAGAUGUGUGUGUAUGGAGGACCACUGGGGUAUAGGAAGAUGUGUGUGAAUGGAGAACCACUGGGGUAUAGGAAGACGUGUGUGAAUGGAGGACCACUGGGGUAUAGGAAGAUGCAUGUGAAUGGAGGACCACUGGAGUACAGGAAGAUGUGUGUGAAUGGAGGACCACUGGGGUAUAGGAAGACGUGUGUGAAUGGGGGUGGAGACCAUGGGAAGCUCAGAAGACUUUCAAAAGAAGGUCACCCUUGA